This 92-nucleotide ribosomal RNA is filed under the name uncultured bacterium. Its description in RNAcentral is "partial 16S ribosomal RNA". It matches the Rfam family "Bacterial small subunit ribosomal RNA", at positions 1393 to 1482 of the family's 1533-position model. The record is from RNAcentral.
CCCGUCACAUCACGAAAGCUGGCUGUACUAGAAGUAGCAGCGCUAACCCGCAAGGGAGGCAUGUUCCUAAGGUAUGGUCAGUGAUUGGGGUG